RNAcentral lists this ribosomal RNA (253 nucleotides) under uncultured bacterium. RNAcentral describes it as "partial 16S ribosomal RNA". It matches the Rfam family "Bacterial small subunit ribosomal RNA", at positions 524 to 776 of the family's 1533-position model. The record is from RNAcentral.
UACGUAGGUGGCAAGCGUUGUCCGGAUUUACUGGGCGUAAAGAGCGCUCAGGCGGUCGAUUUAGUCGCGUGUGAAAGCCCCCGGCUCAACUGGGGAGGGUCACGCGAUACUGAUCGACUCGAAGGCAGGAGAGGGUAGUGGAAUUCCCGGUGUAGUGGUGAAAUGCGUAGAUAUCGGGAGGAACACCAGUGGCGAAGGCGACUACCUGGCCUGUUCUUGACGCUGAGGCGCGAAAGCUAGGGGAGCAAACGGG